Molecule: ribosomal RNA, 492 nt
Filed under: uncultured bacterium
Lineage: Bacteria
Description: bacterial SSU rRNA
Rfam family: Bacterial small subunit ribosomal RNA
Source: RNAcentral
ACUAGCAGUAAGAGUUUGAUCCUGGCUCAGGACGAACGCUGGCGGCACGCCUAACACAUGCAAGUCGAACGGCCCCUUCGGGGGCAGUGGCGGACGGGUGAGUAACGCGUGGGAACCUGCCCCUUGGUUCGGGACAACCCGGGGAAACCCGGGCUAAUACCGGAUGCGCUCCUGGCUUUGGCUGGGAGGAAAGAUUGAUCGCCGAGGGAUGGGCCCGCGUCGGAUUAGGUUGUUGGUGAGGUAACGGCUCACCAAGCCUACGAUCCGUAGCUGGUCUGAGAGGAUGAUCAGCCACACUGGGACUGAGACACGGCCCAGACUCCUACGGGAGGCAGCAGUGGGGAAUCUUGGACAAUGGACGCAAGUCUGAUCCAGCGAUGCCGCGUGAGCGAUGAAGGCCUUAGGGUUGUAAAGCUCUUUCGCCCGCGACGAUGAUGACGGUAGCGGGAGAAGAAGCCUCGGCUAACUCCGUGCCAGCCGCCGCGGUAAUAC